This 75-nucleotide transfer RNA is filed under the name Solanum lycopersicum (tomato). It matches the Rfam family "tRNA". Rfam says of the family: Transfer RNA (tRNA) molecules are approximately 80 nucleotides in length. Lineage: Eukaryota; Viridiplantae; Streptophyta; Magnoliopsida; Solanales; Solanaceae. The record is from Rfam by way of RNAcentral.
GCCUGUAUAGCUCAGUUGGUAGAGUGCAAGGCUCUUAACCUUGUGGUCCUGGGUUCUCGAGCCCCAUGGUCGGCG